AAAUCGCACUGUAUUGAACAGAAC
This 24-nucleotide microRNA is filed under the name Ananas comosus (pineapple). RNAcentral's name for it is "microRNA s0495_c65a". The record is from RNAcentral. Lineage: Eukaryota; Viridiplantae; Streptophyta; Magnoliopsida; Poales; Bromeliaceae.